CAGGAUUAGAUACCCUGGUAGUCCACGCCGUAAACGGUGGGUGCUAGUUGUGGGCCACAUUCCACGUGGUCCGUGACGAAGUUAACACAUUAAGCACCCCGCCUGGGGAGUACGGUCGCAAGACUAAAACUCAAAGGAAUUGACGGGGGCCCGCACAAGCGGCGGAGCAUGCGGAUUAAUUCGAUGCAACGCGAAGAACCUUACCAAGGCUUGACAUAUAGAGGAAACGUGCAGAAAUGUACGCCCCGCAAGGUCUCUAUACAGGUGGUGCAUGGUUGUCGUCAGCUCGUGUCGUGAGAUGUUGGGUUAAGUCCCGCAACGAGCGCAACCCUCGUCCUAUGUUGCCAGCACGUAAUGGUGGGAACUCAUGGGAGACUGCCGGGGUCAACUCGGAGGAAGGUGGGGAUGACGUCAAAUCAUCAUGCCCCUUAUGUCUUGGGCUUCACGCAUGCUACAAUGGCCAGUACAAAGGGCUGCAAUACCGUAAGGUGGAGCGAAUCCCAAAAAGCUGGUCUCAGUUCGGAUUGAGGUCUGCAGCUCGACCUCAUGAAGUCGGAGUCGCUAGUAAUCGCAGAUCAGCAACGCUGCGGUGAAUACGUUCCCGGGCCUUGUACACACCGCCCGUCAAGUCACGAAAGUCGGUAACACCCGAAGCCGGUGGCCUAACCGUAAGGAAGGAGCCGUCGAAG
Molecule: ribosomal RNA, 689 nt
Filed under: uncultured Actinomycetes bacterium
Lineage: Bacteria; Bacillati; Actinomycetota; Actinomycetes
Description: bacterial SSU rRNA
Rfam family: Bacterial small subunit ribosomal RNA
Source: RNAcentral